UACGUAGGGUGCGAGCGUUAAUCGGAAUUACUGGGCGUAAAGCGUGCGCAGGCGGUUUUGUAAGUCAGAUGUGAAAUCCCCGGGCUUAACCUGGGAACUGCGUUUGAAACUACAAGGCUAGAGUGUGGCAGGGGGGGGUGGAAUUCCACGUGUAGCAGUGAAAUGCGUAGAGAUGUGGAGGAACACCGAUGGCGAAGGCAGCCCCCUGGGUUAACACUGACGCUCAGGCACGAAAGCGUGGGGAGCAAACAGG
This 253-nucleotide ribosomal RNA is filed under the name uncultured bacterium. RNAcentral describes it as "partial 16S ribosomal RNA". It matches the Rfam family "Bacterial small subunit ribosomal RNA", at positions 524 to 776 of the family's 1533-position model. The record is from RNAcentral.